ACACUACUACAAAUCCCGUCCAUUCUAGACGCUUUAUGCUCGACGCUAGGUAACAAGCGUUAGCCAAAAAAUUAAUUUCCGUGGUUUUUCGACGCUUUUAAGUGCCAUAAUUGGAUCUCGACAAAUAAAAGCGUCAAAAUACACAGACCUUAAUGCACGUGACUACAGCCCAUCCCGGGAGUUAAAAAUUUUAGAAAAAAAAAAGCGGGCUAGCUAAAUCAAAAAAAUUAAAAAAAAAACCGCCCAUAUACAGACAUACAGUAUACCAAAAUAAAAGUUAGACGGAAGAAAUAAAAAAAAAAAAACCCUUUAGUUCGCCAUUAUCGAAACCCUAGCUAACUUUCCUUUGCUUCGAUCGAUCUCAUCUGAUCUCCUAAAUCACUUGAAAUUGUUGAAUUUUGCGUUCCUCUCUUCAGUAUUAUCUUCAAUUUUCGGUUGCUUAUGCUGAAUCUUUGUUUAUUCAUUGCACGUUAUGGAAAUUCUUUUUGCUAAUGGGAUUUCGAAACGACCGACGCAGAGAAUUCAAGAAUAUAUAUCACGCAGGUAUACACCACUUGAUACGAAAGGCUUGCUGGAAACAUUUGGAAAGAAAAGCAUAGAGUCCUGGACCUAAAUUUCAAGAAAUCGUGAAUAUUCGUUUGGGAGACGGAUCAACUCGUAGAGGUCAAGUUUUGGAAGUUGAUGGUGAGAAGGCUGUAGUUCAGGAACAUCUGGAAUUGACAACAAAUAUACUAUCGUGCAGUUCACUGGUGAGAUAUGUGCCCUUACAACCCAAACUACAACGACCCAGCAAAAGGUCCUAACACCUAUCAAUUACCUCAGCACCUACCCUUCUGCAAACCAAAAGAGUGCUCAUUAAUCUGCAUCCACGAGCUGAUACUGGAAAUGCAAUGUCUGCUGUAAUUUUUUUAGCAAUUAAGUUUUAUAUUAUACUCCUGUAUUUUCUUUUAACAAUUAAAUAUUAUA
This is a long non-coding RNA of Chenopodium quinoa (quinoa), 966 nucleotides long. RefSeq lists it as uncharacterized. The transcript is spliced from 6 exons. Lineage: Eukaryota; Viridiplantae; Streptophyta; Magnoliopsida; Caryophyllales; Amaranthaceae. The record is from RefSeq and is a predicted model, not a curated record.